This 707-nucleotide small RNA is filed under the name Pongo abelii (Sumatran orangutan). Its description in RNAcentral is "processed transcript". The record is from RNAcentral. Lineage: Eukaryota; Metazoa; Chordata; Mammalia; Primates; Hominidae.
GCCACUCAGUGACCGGCGCCCGCUGGCACCUUGGAGCGGCAAGGCCCGCCCGACCCUUUUCUCCCCCAGGGCUCUUUGCACGCGCGUGUGCUAGGCAGGGGGGCGGGAACCCGGGCGCACGCGCAGCGUCCCACCUGCUUCUGCAGGGCCUUUGUGGAUGUGUGAUGUCUUGGGUAAAAAGCAUGGUGCCAGGCAGGCAGCUUGACCCAGCGUUUCCUGAAAAUUUUUGGAAAAACCUGAAGAAGGAAAACAUUUGACCUUGGAAUAAACUAAGGUUGACCUUAAAGCUGGUCUGGUUGCUCACCGGAGGAGCGACAACGACCCCUAACAGACGUAAGGAAUCGGGAAUUAAACUUGGAAUAUUGGGUGGAGAGAUUCAACCAGUUAGCGUGAAAGUUGGAGAUAAAGUUCUUCUCCCAGAAUAUGGAGGCACCAAAGUAGUUCUAGAUGACAAGGUGUGUAAACUUAAUAAUUCUAAAAAGAAGUCAGAUAUUUGCGAUUAGUUGUCUUAACUAAUGGUUUCUUCAUUUGCAGGAUUAUUUCCUAUUUAGAGAUGGUGACAUUCUUGGAAAGUACGUAGACUGAAAUAAGUCACUAUUGAAAUGGCAUCAACAUGAAGCUGCCCAUUCCACUGAAGUUCUGAAAUCUUUCAUCAUGUAAAUAAUUUCCAUAUUUCUCUUUUAUAAUAAACUAAUGAUAACUAAUGA